AUACGGAGGGUGCAAGCGUUAUUCGGAAUCACUGGGCGUAAAGGACACGUAGGCGGGAAGCCAAGUCUGAUGUGAAAUCCUACAGCUUAACUGUAGAACUGCAUUGGAAACUGGUUACCUAGAGUAUGGGAGGGGGAGAUGGAAUUAGUGGUGUAGGGGUAAAAUCCGUAGAUAUCACUAGGAAUACCGAAAGCGAAGGCGAUCUCCUGGAACAUAACUGACGCUAAGGCGUGAAAGCGUGGGGAGCAAACAGGAUUAGAAACCCUAGUAGUCC
This 274-nucleotide ribosomal RNA is filed under the name uncultured bacterium. RNAcentral's name for it is "partial 16S ribosomal RNA". It matches the Rfam family "Bacterial small subunit ribosomal RNA", at positions 523 to 796 of the family's 1533-position model. The record is from RNAcentral.